CCCUUAGAUGUCCGGGGCUGCACGCGCGCUACACUGUAGAAAGCAGCGUGCUUUAAAACCUUUCCUGAAAAGGAUGGGUAACCCCAGCAAAAUUCUACGUGCUUGGGAUAGAGAUUUGCAAUUUUCUCUCUUGAACGAGGAAUUCCCAGUAAGCGCAAGUCAACAGCUUGCGUUGAUUACGUCCCUGCCCUUUGUACACACCGCCCGUCGCUACUACUGAUUGGAUGUUUAAGCGGGGUUCUCGAACUGCUAGCGACUUAGCUUCGGUGAGGUCGCAGUGUGGGAAGUGAACCUAGCUUUGGUGUCUAGAGGAAGUAAAAGUCGUAACA
Molecule: ribosomal RNA, 329 nt
Filed under: uncultured eukaryote
Lineage: Eukaryota
Description: partial 18S ribosomal RNA
Rfam family: Eukaryotic small subunit ribosomal RNA
Source: RNAcentral